Molecule: long non-coding RNA, 1850 nt
Organism: Chenopodium quinoa (quinoa)
Lineage: Eukaryota; Viridiplantae; Streptophyta; Magnoliopsida; Caryophyllales; Amaranthaceae
Exons: 8
Source: RefSeq, a predicted model, not a curated record
AAUUUGCUUCCUAACUCUCUCUCGUCUUCCUUUUCCUUUGUUUUUCAUUUUAUUUCUGCUUUUUACCAGAAAUUGCUCACAUCCUCUCAAUUCUAGCAUCCUCUCUCCUCUUUCUCCCUUAAUUUCCUCCCCUCCAUAUCUCCAAUUCUCAAUUGCAUGAUGAAAAUCAGAAUUUCUGGCGGUGGUAAUUCUCUCACUUCACUCCAUUGUAGGAACUUCUGAGCUUUUCCCUCCAUUGAAGCAGCUUCCGAGAUAAGGCAUUGGGUUUGUGGAAUUUGGGGGUAAUUUCUCUCGCUCCAUUGAAGGCAUGAAGCACAUACUCUGAAUUCUCCAUUGAUGCGGCUUCUGAGCUGUCCAUCAGUUGAAGCAACUUCUGAGAUUAUCACUGAGAAGAACCACUGUGAGAUCAGCAAGUACCUCUUCCAAGGAUGAUAAUUUAAUGUUACUGAGGGAGAUUUUUCUCUUUCCUCUUUCUUUCUCUUUCUCUCUCUGAUUUCGUCGAUUGUGGCUUUGAGCUGUGCUCUAUUCAAAGCAGCGUAUUGGGAAAUCUACUAUAUGAUACUGAUGAGUAAUUGUCUGAUGUGGACGAUGAACUUUUGAAGCUGCAAACUCAAUUUGACAAUGCAGACUUGCCCCUUAGUGUUGAGGUAUCAGUUCCCUGGUUGCAGGUUCCUUCUUCAAGUGAGAAGCCUUCUGCUGCUGGAACAUCAACUUUUCCAGUCCAGGAAGAGAAAGUCUUGGCGCCUAGCAGCUCUAAAGCCGAGUCAAGUUCAAUUGUUAUGGACCAGCAGUUGGUUAAGCAUUUACUAUAGGAAGUUUCUAGAUUGGAAGCUGAGAUCAAAAGUCGAGAACCUUCAUCUUCAUCAACUUUAAAGGCACUUCUGAUUGAGAAAAACGUACAAAUCCAGAAGGUUUUGGGGUUGGUUCGUUUGGGUCAGUCUCAUUUCGAGUAAUGAAGGGAAUUCAAUAUAGGCUACCAAUGCCGAUGCCGUCAUGUCCACCACUCAAGGUUCUCUUCUUCUGUUUUGGGGUUGGUUCGUUUGGGUCAGUCUCAUUUCGAGUAAUGAAGGGAAUUCAAUAUAGGCUACCAAUGCCGAUGCCGUCAUGUCCACCACUCAAGGGAUUUGUAUCAAUAGCAGAGGUGAAUACCAAAGGUAUAGUCCGUUGUUGUCCUAUCAAAUAUACGUUCAACACUCAUGGUUGCUCAUCUAAAUGAGAAUCUCCAUGAUAUUGGGGCUUAUUCGGUUGGACUCAGCCAAGAAGUCAACCUCAGCAAUUUUGAUAGAGUUUCAAGGUUAUUGAGGAGGUUCUCCAGCAUUAGCAAAUGAGAAUGGCCAAGAAAAUCUGCAACUAGAGCCAAUUGGAUAAGGAUUACAAGCAAAGGUGCAGUGAAGGAUGAAGCUGUUGAAAUAUCUGAGGAGAACUGACUGGGAGUCCUGUUGCUUUGUUCUUUCAAAACUUGGCCUUUGUGACAACCCUGAUUACAUGAAUUAUGAUUUUAUACAGAUUACUAAGUUUUCAUUGCAGUAAUGAAUGUUUUGCCUUUAAUUUUCUUGCUCCUAUAUUCAGUUCAAGAAGUCCUUUGUUGAUUUAAAAUCAAAGGUGCUAAUGGUAGCUGAGAUUAGAAAUAUUAAUGUAUCCUUCCAUUUUGUCUUAAUUUUGUAUACCACAAGGUGAUUCAAAGUUCCCAUGUAAUAAAGCUUAGUGUAGCAAUCAGGCCGACAAAUGUUUGAUUUUUUGGGGGAGAAAUGCCCUUUUGUUAACAUAGCAUUUGCUUUGGCUACUUUAUCUUACAUUGUUAAGGAAAGAGGAUGUAAUACAGAGUUAUUUUCCACUAGAAUGGUACUUCA